Long non-coding RNA from Dicentrarchus labrax (European seabass), 3505 nucleotides. RefSeq lists it as uncharacterized. NCBI's taxonomy places the organism in Eukaryota, Metazoa, Chordata, Actinopteri, Moronidae. The transcript is spliced from 2 exons. The record is from RefSeq and is a predicted model, not a curated record.
CUAAGCCUCUUCGGACUCCACACUGGACCUCGGCAUGUGUAUGUAUGUACAUGUGGCUAACACGCCCUGUCUCUGUCUGAUUUCAGAGACUGUGGUUAUACAUGUUAGUGACCCAGUUUGUUUCUAUGAACUACUCUGUUACCAUAAAUAAACCUUUAUGAUAACCCCAGAUGACUAUCUAUUCCUCCCCUGGCGAAUAAAUGUGUAGAGACAUUUAUAGACAUAUAUAUAUAUAUAUAUAUAUUCCUGGGUUGCCCCCUCGACUCAGUGCAGGUGGUGGGAGAGAGGAGGAUAAUAGCAAAGCUAUCAUCACUGAUGGACAAUGUCUCCCACCCCAUGCAGGACACCAUCAGUACACUGAGCAGCUCCUUCAGCGACAGACUCCUUCACCCCAAAUGUGUGAAGGAGAGAUAUCGUAGGUCCUUCCUCCUUCCUGCUGCUGUCAGACUGUUAAACAACCAGCACUGCUCCCAGUAAUUUUAUUUUAUUUAUUAUUUCCCUACUCUUACUGUUUUUUAUACUGUUUGAUUUUCUCUAUCCACUUUGCUGCUGUAACAUUGGAAUUUCCUCAUUGUGGGACAAAUAAAGGAAUAUCUUAUCUUAUUUUAUCUUAUCUUAUAUAUGUAGUAAAUUAUGUUUCAAUGGGAAAAGCAUCUUUCCGAAUGAAGUGGUCUCCUGCACAUUGCAGAUUUAAAAAUGUGCCCAUAAUGCUGUGGGAGUCUGACCAGAGCCUGUGGGAGUCUGAGUGAAAGCACUAAGUGGUUUCCAUGCAACACUAACAUUCGAUGGGAAUAAGCCAGCCAUUUUAACCAUGUUGACUAGAUUUCUUUUCAGCCAACUGCCAUUUGUUGAGUGAAAUUGCCUAGUGCAGUUCUCAGUCAUAAUUUCUUCUCUGAUUUCAAUUCACUUGUGGUAUGCAGCAUAAAAAUACAGCCAUGAAAUGUUUCAAAUCAUGUUCUUCAGAUGAGAAUUAAUUUAUUAGAAUUUCCAUGAUUUCACAGAGGUCGUAGAAUCUGAUUCAGUUUCUGCUAGUUUUGUAUUUUUUCCUACAGGGCUUCUUAAAAAACAUUUAGUACCAUUCAAUAAAUGUUUUAUAUCUAGCAUCUAUACCAGAAUUACUUUACAAAACAUUGUCAUGAUGUGAAUAUCAAAACAAGCUACAGUGUCGUCAUGAUAUGACAUUUCUUUAUGACAUUAAGCUUAAGAGCGGUCUUAUCAUGAGCGGUGUGAUAUGGAGCACCCCUACACACUAAGAAAUACAAUGUUAUGGUCACUGGUUCUACAAAACUUGUUGAAUAAAUGGGGAAAAGACUAGAAAAGUUUAAACCACUGUUCUGUCAUCAAGCAGUAGCAACAUGUAUCAGCAACAGUCACUGUUCUGCACACUUAAACAUGUUUUUUGAGCUGUAAACUAAAUUGACUGAACAGUGACGAAACACAUCAAUAACGGCAUUAAUAUUGACAUUCUCAUCUAAUUUCUAAAAAUCUGCAUUUCAUUUCUUGAACACACUAUCUCCUGUUUUAAAUCACGCUGAAUCUUGUAAGGCCAAUGCUGAUAGAGUUGUCGGAUUGGGACUUUAUGUCAUGACAUUUCUAUUAAUUCCCCCACUUUUAUGUCACUGAACGGCAUUGACCGUUCAGAGUCAGCCUUGACGGUUGAAGUGGAGGACUUGGACCAGUCCUGUGCAGAAGUGACAGCUGUGGUAGGUCAUUAAUAGAGUAACAUUACCGUAAAUGACUUUUUUACUACAUUGUUAUUAAGUGACUGCCAAGAGAGGAGGCAAGCCCCACAACCUGGAUGAUGACGCACAAGGAAUCCCAAAUUAGGCCCACACCCCCCAAAUGAGAGAAGGAUUUUUCUGAGCUGCAGUGCAUCCUAGUUGAAAAGGAAACUCAAGACAGAAACUAGAAAUUAAACUUCUCCAGAGUCAGCAGAGCAGAUACAAAUUGUCAGAACAAGACAAUGUGUCAUUCACCUGUAGGGAAAACUAUUUAUUGUUACUAUUCACCUUAUGCUGUGAAUAAACCAGGGUACUUUCACAUUAUGGCGCUUUGUAUUUGUACUUCCGUUUUAGAGUGGAAGUGCUGUUACUGUUUAGCAACGCUAGCCUUGUUCUGAGUUUCUCACCGUUUAGUUGCCAGAAGCUUGUUCUUUGAAAGGAUGCUACAAGAACUUUAGGAAGAGAAAGGAGUUUUUAAAUCAGGAAUGUUUUGUUCAUCGUCCUCUGAUCCGUUCACAAUGUUGUGGUCCCCCGUACAAUUUACAUCCACCACCGAGGGACAAAGAACAGUUGAACCAACAGACCAACACCCCCUUCCCGAAAAGUUCCUGGACUACAAAGUAGCCGUUAAGAAGCCGUGGAGGGUUUUGGAGCAGGCAACACAUGAUGAUGUACAGCCAGCCACAGCAAAACCAGUAGCUGUGGAAGUUGAGGAACCCAGAUUUAAAGAUGCGCUGACCCAGUGGGAAGAUUCCACAAUUAGCAACCACAAUUAGUGCCUAAUGCCACUGAGAUCCACCACAUGUGACAAAGGGACACAGUGUUGCAAGGAACCCCUUUACAAAGGCUUGCUGCACACAGAUGCACUUGUCUUCUCCAUACUGCUUGCCCCUUUCAACUUUUCAUUUGUUGGCACAAAACCUUUUGCCUUCGUACAGUGCCAGCUUUCAGCUCAACCCAACUGAUCAGCUUCUGAUGACACUGAUGAAGCUCAAGCUCAACUCGCUCCAGGAAUACCUGGUAGAGAACUUUAAUGUUGUACCUGAUGGAGAACCACAUGAGGAGCUACAUCCCAUGGCUGCCCAAGGAGACAAUAGUUGAAACAAUGCCCGAGUGUUUCAAAGACCAUUAUCCAGGCACAACCUGAAUAAAUUGACCGUUCAGAAACCAGCCCGCAGAAGCCCCAAAACCUUGCCUCCAGGGGAGAGUCCUUUAGUCAUUACUAUGGGCAGAACACAGUGAAGUUCAUGGUUGCCAUUGCACCUUGUGGCUUGAUAAUGUUCAUCCCUCCAGCAUAUGGAGGAAGGAGUAGCGACAAGUUCUCAUGACCUCUGACUCAGGGUUCCUCAACAGGGUUCCAGGUGAUGAGGUGAUUCCUGAUCGUGGCUUCAGGUUGGGGUAAAGUUGACCAUUCCUGGCCCCCUCCUACCUCGCAGACCUUCUCCAUCGCCACACUUCUUCCUGAAGCUUUUCCAACGCCAACCUCCUGUCUGCACUACUGAGGACCAAGCAUUGUACCUGGGGCGACCGAGCAUUCUCCAUAGCUGUCCCCUCCUUCUGGAACUCUCUCCCCAAACACAUCCGGGACUGUACCGAUCUGUGAUUUUGUAAAGUGCAUAUGUUUACCAUUAUUUUAUUUUUUACAUAAAAUUAACUACUAUUUAUUUCUUUUUUCACAAAAAGAAAUAAGACAAUUAGAAAUAAUUGUAAUUUUGUAAGGCUUACAAGUUGUAUUAUGAAUUAUAGGUUUGUUUAUUUAAAAUAAAUGGCAUGAAUCCCUUAAA